UCGAGCGGAGUUUUGAAAAGCUUGCUUUUCAAAACUUAGCGGCGGACGGGUGAGUAACACGUGGGCAACCUGCCCUUGAGACGGGGAUAACUCCGGGAAACCGGAGCUAAUACCGGAUAACACAUAUCUUCGCAUGAGGAUAUGUUAGAAGGUGGCUUUUAGCUACCACUCAAGGAUGGGCCCGCGGCGCAUUAGCUAGUUGGUGAGGUAACGGCUCACCAAGGCGACGAUGCGUAGCCGACCUGAGAGGGUGAUCGGCCACACUGGGACUGAGACACGGCCCAGACUCCUACGGGAGGCAGCAGUAGGGAAUCUUCCGCAAUGGACGAAAGUCUGACGGAGCAACGCCGCGUGAGUGAUGAAGGUUUUCGGAUCGUAAAGCUCUGUUGUUAGGGAAGAACAAGUACCUGUUAAAUAAGCAGGUACCUUGACGGUACCUAACCAGAAAGCCACGGCUAACUACGUGCCAGCAGCCGCGGUAAUACGUAGGUGGCAAGCGUUGUCCGGAAUUAUUGGGCGUAAAGCGCGCGCAGGCGGUUCCUUAAGUCUGAUGUGAAAGCCCACGGCUCAACCGUGGAGGGUCAUUGGAAACUGGGGAACUUGAGUGCAGAAGAGGAGAGCGGAAUUCCACGUGUAGCGGUGAAAUGCGUAGAGAUGUGGAGGAACACCAGUGGCGAAAGCGGCUCUCUGGUCUGUAACUGACGCUGAGGCGCGAAAGCGUGGGGAGCGAACAGGAUUAGAUACCCUGGUAGUCCACGCCGUA
Molecule: ribosomal RNA, 763 nt
Filed under: Priestia endophytica
Lineage: Bacteria; Bacillati; Bacillota; Bacilli; Caryophanales; Bacillaceae
Description: bacterial SSU rRNA
Rfam family: Bacterial small subunit ribosomal RNA
Source: RNAcentral